GAAAUGCGAUAAGUAAUGUGAAUUGCAGAAUUCAGUGAAUCAUCGAAUCUUUGAACGCACAUUGCGCUCCUUGGUAUUCUUUGGAGCAUGCCUGUUUGAGUAUCAUGAAAUCUUCAAAGUAAAUCUUUUGUUAACUCAAUUGGUUUCUACUUUGGUAUUGGAGGUCUUUGCAGCUUCACACCUGCUACUCUUUGUUCAUUAGCUGGAUCUCAGUGUUAUGCUUGGUUCCACUCGGCGUGAUAAGUUAUCUAUCGCUGAGGACACUGUAAAAGGUGGCCAAGGUAAAUGCAGAUGAACCGCUUCUAAUAGUCCAUUGACUUGGACAAUACUUUUAUGAUCUGAUCUCAAAUCAGGUAGGACUACCCGCUGAACUUAAGC
This 378-nucleotide unclassified non-coding RNA is filed under the name plant metagenome. RNAcentral's name for it is "partial contains 5.8S ribosomal RNA, internal transcribed spacer 2, and large subunit ribosomal RNA". The stretch from base 1 to 105 matches the Rfam family "5.8S ribosomal RNA", at positions 50 to 154 of the family's 154-position model. The record is from RNAcentral.